RNAcentral lists this ribosomal RNA (483 nucleotides) under uncultured bacterium. RNAcentral describes it as "partial 16S ribosomal RNA". It matches the Rfam family "Bacterial small subunit ribosomal RNA", at positions 28 to 507 of the family's 1533-position model. The record is from RNAcentral.
GACGAACGCUGGCGGCAUGCUUAACACAUGCAAGUCGAACGCUGAAGCUCAGCUUUUGUUGGGUGGAUGAGUGGCGAAAGGGUGAGUAACACGUGAGUAACCUGCCCCCUUCUUUGGGAUAACGCCCGGAAACGGGUGCUAAUACUGGAUAUUCACUGGUCUUCGCAUGGGGGUUGGUGGAAAGGGUUUUUCUGGUGGGGGAUGGGCUCGCGGCCUAUCAGCUUGUUGGUGGGGUGAUGGCCUACCAAGGCUUUGACGGGUAGCCGGCCUGAGAGGGUGACCGGUCACAUUGGGACGGAGAUACGGCCCAGACGCCUACGGGAGGCAGCAGUGGGGAAUAUUGCACAAUGGGCGCAAGCCUGAUGCAGCGACGCCGCGUGAGGGAUGGAGGCCUUCGGGUUGUGAACCUCUUUCGCUCAUGGUCAAGCCGCAACAAUGGUUGUGGUGAGGGUAGUGGGUAAAGAAGCGCCGGCUAACUACGUG